Molecule: long non-coding RNA, 8005 nt
Filed under: Phaseolus vulgaris (common bean)
Lineage: Eukaryota; Viridiplantae; Streptophyta; Magnoliopsida; Fabales; Fabaceae
Description: long non-coding RNA (PVUL_LNC001089)
Rfam family: Eukaryotic small subunit ribosomal RNA (bases 3244-3767)
Source: RNAcentral
UUAACUGAGUUUUGUUGGUAUUGUUUCGGUGGGUGAUUGAGUUUUGUUGAAAUUGCUAUGUUAUUGAUUUUUUUUAAGUAUUGUUUCGGGCACACACUUCUUGAUCAAGUCUAAGGUUUGUCGAAUUAUUUGAUGUUUGCGAUCCAUCUUUUGUCAGAUUGAAGAACGCAAAACCUAUUAGUAAGUUCAUUUACGCUCUGAUUGGAUUGAAGAACGCAAUAAGUAUAUUCAUUUACUCUUCUGUUGGAUUCUUCUGUUGGAUUGAAGAACGCAAGAAUGAUUAGUAAAUUCAUUUACACCAAUUCCGAAUGUGAUUCUUUAUGUGAUGAAGGUGAGUUUUGAAUCUUUUAAUCAAAUUCCUUUAUCCCUUUUCUGCUGGUGGCUGGGUCUUGAGAUUUGUUUUGUCCAUGGAUGAAAUGAAAAACAUAAUAGUUUGGAAAGGCCAAUUGAUCCAAGUCUUCUUAUAGUCUUUAUCUGCAUCUUCAUCUUCGUAACGUUUCUAAACUUCUUCCUUUUAUUAUGAGCUUAGUUCGUUUUCUUGAAUUUUUGCCUGCACAGGAUAGUUCAUUUUCUUGAAUUUUUGGCUGUAGGACAUGAUGUGAAGUAUUAUGUUUUUGGCUGCAGGAUAGCUCUAUUUACUUCUUUUGGGUUGGGGUCUCACGAUUUGUGAUAGGAUAUGGAAGCAGUACUGUAUCUUAUUGUUAACAAUAUUUCUUAAUCUUAGUCCUUGCUGAUUUUGCUCUUUAUUAUUUAAUGUUUUUGGAUUUACCUAACUGUGAACUUGUUUCUCUACAAUAGUAUUUCAAAGUGUUUUUUGUAAUCUUCGUGCCCUUGGUUUUAAAUAUGUGGCUUCCCUUGAUUUUUGGAUUUAUGAAUUUACCUUAUUGUUUCUUUACUUUGUCAUGUCAUCUUUUUUAGAAGAUUAGUUUUCUCAAAUCACCAUGUAUCUUCUUGAGCUUUUACAUGAGCAUCAGGUUUUGGAAACAGUGGAUGGAGAUAGAGUUAAACUUUAGGUUUUAUUAUCUUUGCAUUCAUUAUGCUGAUAAAAAAAAUCUUUGCAUUCAUUAUUUUCUUUGUUAUUGGACUUACUCUGUAGUUUUAUUAUGUUUCCAUCCACUAUUUUUCUUAUGUGCUCGAUUUGGAAUGUCUACAAUCUCUUUUAUUGGUUGGAUAGUUGUAAGGUACCUGUAUUUGUCAUUGUCUAAGCAAGAGCUAUAAACCUCUCUUCAUGAGAGGCAUUAUAAACCUCUAUGUCAGCGAUUUUAUUUCCUCUUUCUAUUCCACACUCAGACAUUUCUCUCAGCAAUGAAGUCAUUUAAUCACAGCCUUUCGUUUCGUUUCCUUUCAUUUCCUUUGUUGUCAAAACAACCUUUGGGUCUUUCUUGCUUCUUGACUAUGGUAUUUAGUUUCACUAUGUUCUCAGGACGUGUUAUUUGGAAGUGAUGUGGUUAUUUAUUCGAGGAUCGAGUUCCAUUCCUUUAGACUUGCAUUUGUUUGUGUUCAUUGCUAUCAAACAACUUUCUUCUUUUUAAGUUUAUAGAGCCCUUUAUUUUUUAAUGAAACCCACUAAAUGUUAUUUAUUUAUUUUUCUUUCUUUUUCAUCAUUUCCUACUUAUUUGUGUUUCUAAUAGGCUUGGGAUGCGUUUUGGGUUUAUAAGAGUAUUAGAGGCACUUGAAUUUGGGGAGGAUUUGUCUUUUACUAUGUGGUUGGUUGUUGAAGCAGUGGCUGUUUUGGGAAUUUUGGUGAUCUUGUACUCCUUACUGAAACGAGACCUCAUCUUAUUGAGUGCUAUAUUUCUCAAUUUUGAGACUCAUUUUAUUGAUUGCUAUAUUUCUCAAUUUUAAUCCCUUGUUGAUCUUGUAUUUUGGGACAGCUAACAUCUUUGCACACUGAAGAUUAAUUUACUCAAUGAUCGAGAAACAAAUUGUAUGUAUUUUAUAUUUAGUGUGCAGUAUAGUGCUAGAACUGUGUGUGAACAGCUCAUGUAACGUACAUGAUCUGGUGAUGUAUCUCUGAUUUUGGGAUCUGUAUUUUUUUCUAUUCAAUUUAUAUUGAGUGUUUAGCGGUUUUCAUGAUACGGUAGUUUUUUCUAUAUGAUAAGUACAUCCAGUUUUAAUUGGAUAUGAUGACAGAGAUCUAUCAUAUGUAACUGUUUAUCUGCUUGUGUUAGUUCCUUUUCAGCAGGAUCCCAGUUGAUGAUUAAAAAACAUAAAGUUCUUGUUUGAUUAUUGAAAUCUAUCCAAUUUAUCUGUUAGAUCUGUGAUUAUGUUGAUUCCUUUCUAGCACAUUAAAGGUUAAUAAUAAUACAAUGCUCAGUGAAGAUGUCUUCCUUUUAUUUGAAACACUUGCCAGGGGAUCUGUGAAGCUUUAGGUUUUGGUACCCUUACAUUUCUUAUAUCUUUAUUUGUGACUGACUAAACUUCUUGAGAAUGAGAAACAACAGUAUUAAAUAUUAAACAACAGUAUUAAAUUAAAAAGGUUUUUCUUACUACAAUUAGUUCUUUCUUCACCACUCCGAUAACUAAUUAAAUAUUUACUUUCAUUAGAAUGUAGAUUAUGUGAAUGAUAUAUUUUAAUGUUGGCUCAUAAAAUAUUUUUAUAGUAAUCAUUAAACAAAUGUUUGGUAUACACUCAUAUUUAUCAUACUUCCUUCAAGUAGAUCUUUAAUAAUUUUUUUUAUCUGAAUGGGUUACUGGAAUUAUUAAUUUUUUUAAAAAAAUAGAAUGAUUUUUCUUUUGUGAUUUUUAAUAGAAGCUUACAUCAGUUAUUAGGGGUCACUGAUAUGUUUUUUCACCCUAUAUUGUCUGGAAAUCUUUUCUAUGUUUUCUAAUUUGAACCAAAGGAUUCCUAAAUCUUUUCCUGAAAAACAUUAUUUUAUGUGCUUUCUUUAUUUAUUUAACCAGUCAUGAUAAAAAGCAAGCAAAGAGUGUAGUGAGCCUGUUUUAACUUUACAGUCAUGCAAUGUUUAUUAGUAGGUUCACAUUCAUAAAUACUUUGAUUUCAGGAAUUCACAAAAUUCAAUUACAAUUCCUAUUUCAGUAAGAUUUUUUUGGUCAAUAAGUUUUUUAACAUCUUUUGUCUUUUAGAAAUUUUUUAAACCAUUUUAUACAUACACUUUAUUAAAUAUAUAGUCCUACAGUGACACUAGUCCUGCUAAAUUAAAGAAAAUUCUAUUUUUGUGUGGAGGGUAAUCCUUAUUCUUAACUUCUUUUAAAAGGACGAAUGUAAAUUGCUGAUAUAUGACUUGUAUGCUUUCACAAUUGAUCUUUGUUUGGAACGAAAUUAUGAAACAACUUACCUUAACCUGCAAUUAAUUUAUAUUUGUUGUGUAACUAUUCACUCCAUAUCCUUCUUGAAGAUAUCUCUUUACUAAAAAUAGUAUAGUUGAUAUAGAGUUAAUUCAUAGUAAAGGUUAACCUUGAUCUCUUUCACCAUAUCAAUUUCAACAUGCAUCCUACCAUUUAAAUUUUCCAAUUUUAUUCUGAAAUUGGUAGGAUAGUGGCCUACCAUGGUGGUGACGGGUGACGAAGAAUUAGGGUUAGAUUCCGGAAAGGGAGCCUGAGAAACGGUACCACAUCCAAGAAAAGCAGCAGACACGCAAAUUGUCCAAUCAUGAUAUGGGGAGGUAGUGACAAUAAAUAACAAUAUCGGUUUCAUUGAGUUUGGUAAUUAGAAUUAGUACAAUCUAACACCCUUAACGAGGAUCGAUAUGAGGGCAAGUCUGGUGCUAGGAGCCACAGUAAUUCCUGCUUCAAUAGCGUAUAGUUAAGUUUUUGUAGUUAAAAAUCUCAUAGUUGGACCUUAUGUAUUUUUUUAAAUGUUUGAACAGUUGGUUUUGUCAUUGCAGGGAGGAGAUGGAUGGGUGGUUCUAGGUUUGGGAAACAUGGAUCAGGACCCUGUGGAAAUUUAGGUUUUAUUCUUUGCAUUUAUUAUUUUCUUUGCUGCUAUUAUUCAGGGAUAAACUUGUGGACUGAGAAUACUUACCUCUUCAUGAGAGGCACUAUAAACCUGUGUCAACGAUUUUAUUUUCUCUUUCUAUUCCACACUCAGAUAUUUUUCUCAGCAACGGAGUCAUUUAAUAACAGUGUUUCGUUUCGUUUCCUUUCAUUUCCUUUGUUGUCAAAACAACCUUUGUGUCUUUCUUACUUCUCGGCUAUGGUAUUUAGUUUCACUACGUUCUCAGGAUGUUUUAUUUGGAAGUGAUGUGGUUAUUUAUUUGUGGAUUGAGUUCCAUUCCUUUAGACUUGCAUUUGUUUGUGUUCAUUGCUAUCAAACAACUUUCUUCUUUUUAAGUUUAUAGAGCCCUUUAUUUUUUAAUGAAACCCACUAAAUGUUAUUUAUUUAUUUUUCUUUCUUUUUCAUCAUUUCCUACUUAUUUGUGUUUCUAAUAGGCUUGGGAUGCGUUUUGGGUUUAUAAGAGUAUUAGAGGCACUUGAAUUUGGGGAGGAUUUGUCUUUUACUAUGUGGUUGGUUGUUGAAUCAGUGGCUGUUUUGGGAAUUUUGGUGAUCUUGUACUCUUUACUGAUACGAGACCUCAUCUUAUUGAUUGCUAUAUUUCUCAAUUUUGAGACCUCAUUUUAUUGAUUGCUAUAUUUCUCAAUUUUAAUCCCAUACUGGUCUUGGAUUUUGGGACAGCUAAUAUCUUUGCACACUGAAGAUUAAUUUACUCGAUGAUCGAGAAACAAAUUGUAUGUAUUUUAUAUUUAUUGUGCAGUAUAGAGUUAGAACUGUGUGGGACAGCUCAUGUAACGAACAUGAUCUGGUGAUGUAUCUCUGAUUUUGGGAUCUGUAUUUUUUUCUAUUAAAUUUAUAGUUUAGCAGUUUUCAAGAUACGGUAGUUUUUAUAUGAUAAGUACAUCCAGUUUUAAUUGGAUACCCUUUAUUAGCAACAGUCCUUUUGGAAUAGGAUUUGUUUCGGCAUAAAUCUGAAAGUUCAACUUGAAACAGCAGCUCAUGAUAGUGUUUUCUCUCUCAACAAAACACUAACCCGACGCUUCAUGUGCAAGGAAUUUGAAGCGGCUAGGUGAGGCACUCAAGGGAUGUGUCUCGCCGGUCACGUGACCUGUUAUGUAAAAUGACUCUCGGCAACAGAUAUCUCAGCCCUUGCAUCAUCAAUGAAGACCGUAGCAAAAUGUGAUACUUAUGUGAAUUGCAAAAUUCCGUGAGCCAGCGAAAUGCGGAUUUGCUUAGCACUACCAUCUGCAUGAAGUUGAAAAUUAAACAAGAACUGCUCAAGAUAACCUAAUUUCUUAUGUGUUGAGCCGGAGUUAAUCACCAUACAUUAAUAUUUGAUUGUGAUUUGUUUGUCUGCAGCAGGGUUUUGUUUAGUUGUGUGAUGACCUGUGUCUUAUCGAGCCUUUUAUGAGCAACUAAGUCUCCACUGGUUUUUGAAUUCCUUAAGUUUAAAUAUAGUUCUUAAAUUUUUUAUGUCUAGGUGUUGAUUCGUUUGUGUUCUUUCCUUUUUAGCAUGUAAGACUGGUUGAGGAUUAAAAUCGCAAGUGUACACGAAAGACAUGCAACAGAUGUGAGGUAAGAUAUCUAAAUACCUGAAGGAGAUCCUUGAUACUUUAGACUGCGUUUUAUGUCUAGUUUCUUUCUUACUUCUCAGCUAUCGUAUUUAGUCUUGGGUUGUGUUAUUUGGAAGUGACGUGGUUAUUCAUUCGAGGAUUGAUUCCAUUCCCUUCUACUUGCAUUUGUUUGUGUUCAUUGCUAUCAAACAACUUUCUUACUUUUCCUACUUAUUUGUGUUUCUCAUAGGCUUGGGAUGCGUUCUGGGUUUAUAAGAGUAUUAGAGGCACUUGAAUUUGGGGAGAAUUUGACUUUUACUGUGGUUGGUUGUAAAAGCAGUGGCUGUCUUGUGAAUUUUGGAUAUGAUCUUAUACUCUUUACUGGUCUGAUCAUCUUAUUGAUUGCUAUAUUUCUCAAUUUUAAUCCCUUAAUGAUCUUCUUCAAUCUGAGAAGCUUGUUAAUUUGGUCUUAUAAUAUAAUUUUUCUGGACUUGAUCACCAAACAUAAAGGUUGCAUUGCCAACCUGUUUCUCUCCAUCAGUACUUGGAAUUGUUUCUUGUAACACCGUUUUGUAAUCUCUUAAGAUAGAUAUUAGUUUUCUUGAUUUAAUUCUCCAAGCUUUCUCUUGUCCUCUACAGGGAGAUAAUGGAUGUGUGUCAUAUGUUUGGGAAACAUGGAAAUCCUGAAACUUUAGAUUUUUUUUAUCUUUUGCAUUCAUUAUUUUUUUUUCUAAUUAUUCUUUGGAUAAUCUUGCAGAGUGGGAUUUCAUGCCUAAUUGUAACAGGCAAAAGAGUUUAAGCAGGAUUCCGGUUGAGGAUUAAAAAACAUAAAUUUGAAUAUAGUUCUUGUUUGAUUAAUGAAAUCUAUCAAAUCUAGCUGUUUGAUCUGUGAUUAUGUUGAUUCCUUUCCAGCACAUUAAAGGUUAAUAAUAAUACAAUGGUCAGUGAAGAUGUCUCCCUUUUAUUUGAAACUUUGUACAUUGAGCAUAUUUUUCGAGACUGAUAUGUGAGGUAGGAUGUUGAAACAGUAGCCAGGGAUCUGUGAAGCUUUAGGUUUUGUUACCCUAAUAUUUGUUAUGUCUUUAUUUGUGAAUGACUAAACUUCUUGUUUGGAUUCUAAGUUUUGGUUGGUUUCACUGCUAACCCUGUAGUGUGACUGGCAACAGGUUUAUAAAAUGUUAACUUCUCUUAAAUCAUUUCUUUCAGCUUUUGGGUCAUGUUUUUUUUUAAAUUCUUAGUGAUUUGAAUUUCUAACAACUUAUAUGAAGUACUGGAUCAAUAGUGAAAAAAAAGAUACGGAAAAAUAUCGUGGCCAUUAAUAGUUUGUGUUUGUUGUCCUGUUUCUCUGUUGUCAGUGAACUCUGCUUCUUUCUCUAUUGCCCCAUAUGCAUCUUUUUCCGCAUUUUUACUCUUUUCUUAUUAAAACUUGUACUUUUCUGAGUAAUUUAGGCUUCUCAUAGCUUUUGAGUCCUGGAUUCAUCGUGAAAUUUGACCUACAUGGUGGGUGCAAUUGAAAUUAUUGAAAAGAGAGAAUUGUUGAUCUUUAGUUUUAUAGUACUGAAUUAGUUUUGGAUUUGCUUAGGUGGAGCAAAUUUGAAAGGUCAUUUGCUUAGGUAUUACUUCAUUUACUAAAUUAUCAAGAGCAUCAAUUGAAAUUAUUGAAAAGAGAGAAUUGUUGAUCUUUAGUUUUAUAGUACUGAAUUAGUUUUGGAUUUGCUUAGGUGUUGCAAAUUUGAAAGGUCAUUUGCAUAGGUAUUACUUCAUUUACUAAAUUAUCAAGAGCAUUGGACAAUUUGAUUUUGUAUUGCAUUCUAUUGUUUUUAGUAGUUGUGGGUUACAUUCUGAAUAUGACUCACCCGCAUCCUUUAUCUGAUAGUAUCUCUCAUAUCUUCCAAUAUGGGAAUGAUCUCCAACAUGAGAGUUGUAUUUAGUUCUAUCUCCAAUAUGAGAAUGAGGAAAUGAAAAACAACAGUAUAUGAGAGCUUUAUUUAGUUAUAUAUUCAAUAUGAGAAUGAGAACCAACAGUGUUUGGAAUGUUUUUGUUCUAUUUAGUUCUAUCUCCAAUAUGAGAAUGACAAACAACAGUAUUUGGAAUGACCCUGAUGAUUUGAUUAUCUGUUGCAGUGAAGACUUACUAUGACUGUCUGUUACCCCCAGUUACGGUAGAUUAUUGGACUUAAUGUGAUGCUUUAGGUUUUAUUCCAUUUCCAUUCACUAUUUUUCUUAUGUCAUAUAUUUGGAAUGGUUGUAGUCUUUCUUAUUGGUUGAAUAGUAGGAAGGCACAUCUGAGAGUUGUGUGUGUCUAAGCAAGAGCGAUAGUUGAUCACCGAACAAUAUGAUCAUUGAAGUUAAGUUACCUUUAUAGAAGUUUUUUUUGUAUGAUAUACAAGUACAUCCAAUUUUAAUUGGAUAUCCUUUGUUAACAACAAUCCUUUUGGAAUAGGAUUUGUUUGAGCGCUAGUUUCGACAUGAAUGUGAAAGUUCAACUUGAAACGGC